UGUGCUCCUCUUCUCGGCGCAACUUCCACUCCACUCCUUCCUCAUCCUUCACCUCAACCAUCCUGAACACCCUUCCCCAUUCUGAUUCAUUUUCCUCUCAUCUGCAAUUAACCUUCUGUGUCCUCUCCCCUCCAGGCCAGCAAGAUCUUCCCCACCUGCCCCCUGGCUGACAGGUGUCCUGCGCAGCAACCAACAAGAUCUAAGGAAGGCUGAGAGAAGGUGGAGGAAAUCUCCGCUUGACUCGGUUCUUCACUCAUACCAAUAUCUCCUUUCCAAAUUCUCACUCAGUUACUGCUGCAAAGUCAUCUUUCUACAAAGGGAAACUGAAAGCAUCAGCAUCUGAUCCAUAUGCUGUCCUUCAACUGAUCAAAACCAGUAACCCAACCACCUGCCCACUGGAUCCCAUCCCAUCGGCAUUGUCAAUCUUUGAGGACCUACUGCCCUUCAUCAUGUUUCUCAUGAAGUCCUUGUCAUCAGGUGAAGUUCCAUCAACUUUCAAGACUGCAAGAGUACUCCCCAUCUUGAAGAAACACAUGCUUGACAGCUCUCAACAACUACAGACCGGUAUUACUACUUUCUUUCCUUUCAAAAAUUCCUGCACAUGGUCUGUCGCUCGGUCUGUGAACCAGCUCCAGGACCCCAACCAGUCUGGCUUCAAACCAGCACACUCUACAGAAACUGCCCUCAAUGCAGUGACUGAACCUCCAAUCUGCAAGAUCAGCCAAAUUGUCAUCUGUCCUGAUCCUUCUUGAUCUCUCAGCAGCUUUUGAGUCAACCAUAUGAUCCUUCUGGACAUCCUCACCAACCUUGGAAUCACUGGCUGUGUGGAAGUGGUUCAAGUCCUAUCUGGAGGAUCACUCUUUUCAGGUUCAGUCGCAUCUCGGCAUGCCUGUCUGACACCUUCAUGGAUGGCAGCUCACCACCUGAAGCUCAAUCCCAGCAAGACGGAGCUGAUAUUCAUCCCUGCAACUACAGGUCCUAAUCAUGAUCUUGCCAUCUCAUUCGAGAACUCCCUGAUAAUUCCAUCUGUAGAGGCAAGAAGUCUUGGUGUGAGUCUGGAUGGCCACUAUCGUUCUCAACUCGCACCGUGAACCUGACUCGGACAUGUAGGUUUCUCCUGUACAACAUCCGAAGGAUCCGACCCUUCCUCACCCAAGAGGUCGCCCAGGUGCUAGUGCAGUCUCUGGUCAUCUCAAGGCUUGACUACUGCAACUCACUCUUGGCUGGUCUUCCCAUGCAGGCCAUCAAGCCUCUGCAACUCAUCCAGAAUGCGGCAGCACGGCUCCUUCAAUCUGCCCAAUUUCAGCCAAGUCACCCCACUGCUGCGCUCCCUUCACUGGCUCCCUGUAGCUGCACACAUCAGAUUUAAAACCCUGCUUGCCUACAAAGCCAAAAAUGGACCAGCCCCUACCUACUUGAUGGCAAUGGUGAAAUCUCGAACUGUACCACCAGCCCUUCGGGUACAUCUCUGCUUGACCUGCCAUCCUUCAAGGUGCAUGGAAGACGGGCAUCGAAUGUUCUCUGUGGAAUGAACUCCCACUGGCUGUCCGAACAGCAGUCUCUUGCUGUCUUCAAACAUGGACUGAAGACUCAUCUCUUUACACAGCACUUAAAUGAGCACUGAAUUAUAAGCUUCACUUAUAUUUUAUUGCACUGUGUAUUGUAUUUUGUUGUAAUUGCAUUGAAUGGCACAGAGUUCUGUUCAACUCUGUUCCUUUUUCUCUGUGUCUGCAGUGACAUUUUGUUUCUAGCAGCACCUGAGCUCAGGACUCUUUUCUCUAAGCUACUGGUAGCUAGACAAAGCAUCUCUUGUAAGUCGCUCUGGAUAAGGACGUCUGCUAAAUGCUGUAAAUGUCUGUGUUGUAGUUUGUCUGCAGCCUGAUCUGUUCUUGUUGGCUACUUGAACCUGCACCAUUUUGACCCUGACCCUGGAUUUGCCCAAAAUCUCACUUUACGCAGCAUGUGCGUCCCACUCAUUGCUCCACGUCACAGCCAGUCUCGGAUCUGUUAUUGCAAAUUAAUAGAAUACAGGCAUAGAAGAUUUUAUCAUAUUUUUUUUGUCGGUCAACUUUUUUUGCAUAAAUUGAGCUCUGCAACUGCCCUUUACAUGGAUAAACUUCAUGGUGAUUGGACAAAUAGAAAUGCUCCAGGACUGCUUGGAACAAAAUCUGUUUAUAUUAACUUGCUGGGAAGUUUUCUACAAGAUUUGAGUGUCUGUGGGGAAUUUUUGCUCCUUCAUCCAGAAGAGCAUUUGUGAGGUCAGACAUUGUUCAUCGCUAAGGUGUUUUGAUGGGGUUGAAGUCAGGGCCCUGUGUGGGCCAGUCAGGUUCUUCCACACCAAAUUCACCCAGCCAUGCCUUUUUGGCUCAGGCAUGCUGGAACAGAAAAGGGCCUUCCAUAAACUGAUCCCACAAAGUUGGAAGCAUAGAAUUGUCCAAAAUGUCUUGGUCUGCUGAAGCAUUAAAAUUUCUCUACAGUGGAACUAAGGGGCCUAGGCCACCCAGUGGAGUUUAGGACACUGUGUAGAUGAAGUGUGAAGCCAUUUUAGAUUGACAGAUUCUAGUGUGGUGUUUGUGUGUGGUGUGGGUUGUUUUUUUUUUUUUUUUUUUUUAUUUAUAAAUCUAAAAUCACUGCAUUCAGCUACACAGUAAAGUUUUCUUAAUUUUAGGUAAUCUGUCCUAAAUCACAUCUGCAUGAGCUGGAUGCAGUUUAUGCUUUUUGAGAAUAAUUUGAGAUUUAUUUGUGAAAAUAGCCUGGGUGCCUGUUGACCAAGUGUUUAUUUGUUUAUUUGUUCCAUUUUAAAACUAAAGCAGCAAAAAUUGGAACCCAAACGGGUCCAAACCUAUUGGUUACAACUUGUGCACAUUUAACUUUUCACUCAACCAUUUAAAGUUGUCAAGUUUAAUGAAUUUAUUUUAAUUUGUAUUACAAUUCCACCAUUAUUGCAUCCAAGUUGCAC
Molecule: long non-coding RNA, 2959 nt
Organism: Pygocentrus nattereri (red-bellied piranha)
Lineage: Eukaryota; Metazoa; Chordata; Actinopteri; Characiformes; Serrasalmidae
Source: Ensembl